GGGGAUGUGCUGGAACUGGCAGACAGGCAUGACUUAGGAUCAUGUGCCGCAAGGCGUGUGGGUUCGACUCCCACCAUCCUCACCA
RNAcentral lists this transfer RNA (85 nucleotides) under Chloroflexota bacterium. RNAcentral describes it as "Chloroflexi bacterium tRNA-Leu". It matches the Rfam family "tRNA". From Rfam's summary of the family: Transfer RNA (tRNA) molecules are approximately 80 nucleotides in length. The record is from RNAcentral. Lineage: Bacteria; Bacillati; Chloroflexota. RNAcentral also lists the same sequence under 2 other names.